This 1218-nucleotide ribosomal RNA is filed under the name Streptomyces sp. vh78. RNAcentral's name for it is "bacterial SSU rRNA". It matches the Rfam family "Bacterial small subunit ribosomal RNA", at positions 31 to 1270 of the family's 1533-position model. The record is from RNAcentral. Lineage: Bacteria; Bacillati; Actinomycetota; Actinomycetes; Kitasatosporales; Streptomycetaceae.
UGACGCUGGCGGCGUGCUAACACAUCAAGUCGAACGAUGAAGCCCCUUCGGGGGUGGAUUAGUGGCGAACGGGUGAGUAACACGUGGGCAAUCUGCCCUGCACUCUGGGACAAGCCCUGGAAACGGGGUCUAAUACCGGAUACGACACAGGGAGGCAUCUCCUCUGUGUGGAAAGCUCCGGCGGUGCAGGAUGAGCCCGCGGCCUAUCAGCUUGUUGGUGAGGUAACGGUUCACCAAGGCGACGACGGGUAGCCGGCCUGAGAGGGCGACCGGCCACACUGGGACUGAGACACGGUCCAGACUCCUACGGAGGCAGCAGUGGGGAAUAUUGCACAAUGGACUCAAGCCUGAUGCAUCGACGCCGCGUGAGGGAUGACGGCCUUCGGGUUGUAAACCUCUUCAGCAGGGAAGAAGCGCAAGUGACGGUACCUUCAGAAGAAGCGCCGGCUAACCACGUUCCAGCAGCCGCGGUAAAACGUAGGGCGCAAACGUUUUCCGGAAUUAUUGGGCGUACUAGAGCUCGUAGACGGCUUUCGCGUCGGUUGUGAAAACCCGGGGCUUAACUCCGGGUCUUCAAUCGAAACGGGCAGGCUAGAGUUCGGUAGGGGAGAUCGGAAUUCCUGGUUUAGCGGUGAAAUGCGCAGAUAUCAGGAGGAACACCGGUGGCGAAGGCGGAUCUCUGGGCCGAUACUGACGCUGGGAGCGAAAGCGUGGGAGCGACAGGAUCAGAUACCCUGGUAGUCAACGCCGUAAACGGUGGGCACUAGGUGUGGACAGCAUUCCACGUUGUCCGUGCCGUAGCUAACGCAUUAAGUGCCCCGCCUGGGGAGUACGGCCGCAAGGCUAAAACUCAAGGAAUUGACGGGGGCCCGCACAAGCGGCGGAGCAUGUGGCUUAAUUCGACGCUACGCGAAGAACCUUACCAAGCUUGACAUACACCGGAAACAUCCAGAGAUGGGUGCCCCCUUGUGGUCGGUGUACAGGUGGUGCAUGGCUGUCGUCAGCUCGUGUCGUGAGAUGUUGGGUUAAGUCCCGCAACGAGCGCAACCCUUGUCCCGUGUUGCCAGCAGGCCCUUGUGGUGCUGGGGACUCACGGGAGACCGCCGGGGUCAACUCGGAGGAAGGUGGGGACGACGUCAAGUCAUCAUGCCCCUAUGUCUUGGGCUGCACACGUGCUACAAUGGCCGUACAAGACUGCGAUACCGUGAGGUGGAGCGA